This 200-nucleotide long non-coding RNA is filed under the name Lathyrus oleraceus (garden pea). RNAcentral's name for it is "Pisum sativum (pea) long non-coding RNA (PSAT_LNC005044)". Lineage: Eukaryota; Viridiplantae; Streptophyta; Magnoliopsida; Fabales; Fabaceae. The record is from RNAcentral.
AGGAACAAAUGUUAUGUUGGACCAAAACUCAUUUGGUGUGUGGAAAUUUAUGAAAACAGGCCAUGAAAUUUAUAGUGCAAAACAUGCCUUUAAGAAUUUUGCCAAAUUGAACCAACUUCAAGCCCCUCUGUUUUGAUGAUGCAAGCCUCAAAUGGAAAAACUUCCAACAUCAAAGUUGUAGGUAUUUUUCAAGACAAUCA